AGAAGAAGAAGAAGAAGAAGAAGAAGAAGAAGAAGAAGAAAAAGAAAGAUGAUAAGGAUUCCAGCUCUUCAUCUUCUGAUAGUGAAGAGGACAAGAAGAAGAAAAAGAAGAAGAAGGAUAAGAAGAAGAAAGAUAAGGAUUCCAGCUCGUCCUCUUCUGACAGCGACGAUGAUAAGAAGAAGAAGAAGAAAAAGAAGAAGAAGAAGGAGGAUAAGGAUUCCAGUUCUUCCUCCUCCUCUGAUUGCGACGAUGACAAGAAGAAGAAGAAAAAGAAGAAGAAG
Centropristis striata (black sea bass) is the source of this 281-nucleotide long non-coding RNA. RefSeq lists it as uncharacterized. The transcript has 3 exons. The record is from RefSeq and is a predicted model, not a curated record. Lineage: Eukaryota; Metazoa; Chordata; Actinopteri; Perciformes; Serranidae.